GAUGAACGCUAGCGACAGGCCUAACACAUGCAAGUCGAGGGGCAGCGGGGAGGUAGCAAUACCUUUGCCGGCGACCGGCGCACGGGUGAGUAACACGUAUGCAAUCCACCUGUAACAGGGGGAUAACCCGGAGAAAUCCGGACUAAUACCCCAUAAUAUGGGCGCUCCGCAUGGAGGGCUCAUUAAAGAAAGCAAUUUUGGUUACAGACGAGCAUGCGCUCCAUUAGCCAGUUGGCGGGGUAACGGCCCACCAAAGCGACGAUGGAUAGGGGUUCUGAGAGGAAGGUCCCCCACAUUGGAACUGAGACACGGUCCAAACUCCUACGGGAGGCAGCAGUGAGGAAUAUUGGUCAAUGGUCGGCAGACUGAACCAGCCAAGUCGCGUGAGGGAAGACGGCCCUACGGGUUGUAAACCUCUUUUGUCGGAGAGUAAAGUACGCUACGUGUAGCGUAUUGCAAGUAUCCGAAGAAAAAGCAUCGGCUAGCUCCGUGCCAG
RNAcentral lists this ribosomal RNA (496 nucleotides) under uncultured bacterium. RNAcentral's name for it is "bacterial SSU rRNA". It matches the Rfam family "Bacterial small subunit ribosomal RNA", at positions 28 to 511 of the family's 1533-position model. The record is from RNAcentral.